AAAGAAUCAUCUGAAAGGAAUGUGGAGAUCAGAGAAAAAUGAUGGGAAAGUUACCACAGCCUGCAAAUGAGAAAUGAUGAGAGCCUGCCUGGGACAAAGAAUCUACAAUAGAUCUUCUCCAGCAGCUCUGGAGGUCAGACCCAGCUGUGGAGAGAAUCAUUUCUAAAAAACUAGAAGGCACGUUGGGAGACUACUACUUUCUGUGGAUGAAUGGGAAAUUCAAGACAGAAAAUGGAUGGGCGAUAUGGAAAUACAACUGUUUUGCCAGGACGAUUAAAUAUCAUUGAUGCUUCUGGUCUACAAUUAGUCAGAGAAGAGAUUAAAAAAAUGAUGAGUAUUCAAGAAGGAAAGUGUUUGCUUUAACAUAUGAAGAAAAGGAGCUUCAGAGUGGUGAUUAACCCCAGAAUUGUGUGGAACGGAUAUGGAAACAAGACCACAGGAGCAUCGAGAACUGAGCAGAACUGAAGGUGACAUGAAAAUCAGCUGCAAGAUUCACCUCAGGGUGAUAAUGGGCUGCAGGUGGCUGCAGGAAUCCCGGGACAUUCUAGGCACUGCCAUAUUUUCUUAGGGGCCAGUAAGGAUGG
This 584-nucleotide long non-coding RNA is filed under the name Homo sapiens (human). Its description in RNAcentral is "non-protein coding lnc-METTL4-2:3". Lineage: Eukaryota; Metazoa; Chordata; Mammalia; Primates; Hominidae. The record is from RNAcentral.